RNAcentral lists this ribosomal RNA (468 nucleotides) under uncultured bacterium. RNAcentral's name for it is "partial 16S ribosomal RNA". It matches the Rfam family "Bacterial small subunit ribosomal RNA", at positions 28 to 507 of the family's 1533-position model. The record is from RNAcentral.
GACGAACGCUGGCGGCGUGCUUAACACAUGCAAGUCGAACGGAAAGGCCCUGCUUUUGCGGGGUGCUCGAGUGGCGAACGGGUGAGUAACACGUGAGUAACCUGCCCUUGACUUUGGGAGAACUUCAGGAAACUGGGGCUAAUACCGGAUAGGAGCUCUUGCUGCAUGGUGGGGGUUGGAAAGUUUCGGCGGUUGGGGAUGGAUUCGCGGCUUAUCAGCUUGUUGGUGGGGUAGUGGCUUACCAAGGCUUUGACGGGUAGCCGGCCCGGGAGGGUGACCGGCCACGUUGGUCCUGAGAUACGGCCCAGACUCCUACGGGAGGCAGCGGUGGAGAGUAUUACACAGUGGGCGGGAGCCAGAUGCAGCAACGCCGCGUGCGGGAAGCCGACCUUCGGGUUGUGAACCGCUUUCGCGUGUGACGAAGCGUAAGUGACGGUAAUGGGUAAGGAAGCACCGGCUAACUACGUG